Haliotis rubra (blacklip abalone) is the source of this 507-nucleotide long non-coding RNA. RefSeq lists it as uncharacterized. The transcript has 3 exons. NCBI's taxonomy places the organism in Eukaryota, Metazoa, Mollusca, Gastropoda, Lepetellida, Haliotidae. The record is from RefSeq and is a predicted model, not a curated record.
AUGUUGCUGGAAUAUUGCUAAAAGUGGCGUAAAACCAAACUCAGUCAGUCAGUCAUCAUUAUAAAACACUGUGAAAAGUUCCAGGUGACUGGUAAAGCCCAUCUCCAUCAUUUACUCCAUAACAAUUAAUUCCAAGUCCCUAUUCUCACAAGUGUGACAUCUUAUCUUUCAGUAGUCCCGUGCAAGGCACCCCCUCAGAUCUGGUGACCACCCCCAGAGACAUAUCCUGCUGUAACAAGUGCCCAACUUAACCGUGACCUGCCUUCUCCUACCCCCGGGCUAAAUACUCGCCUCAUUUCUCCAGGGCUCUGACAGGACAUUAGUACCUCCGUGAGUCCGAGGUGAUGGUCACAAUGUAACUCUGGCCAUAACACCUGUCCAGGUAGAUGUUUAUACUGACGAAUCACCCCUGACCAGGAGUUCACUGUUGAUUAAUGUGUAUUAAUGAUGGAACUGGCACAAAGGACCUGCUGUCACGUCUUCCAUGAACGAGAGUGGCGGGGUAGC